UCUCCUCAGCAACAAAAAGCAAAUAACUUGGUGUUUCUUUUGCAGUAUCGACAUGUGCAGCAGGCAAUAACGAAGUGCUCUGUGGAUGUUGCAGUAGUGUAUUUGUGGAGGAAGUUAACUUUUGGCAGAAAACGGGGUUGAUCUCCAGGUUUGUAGUUCAAAAAAUCCAACAUGUUGUACCAAAAAGAUGGAAGAAAGAUAUCAGACUGCAGCAAAGCAAGAUAUACAGCAAGUGCUUCAAACAUCAAGUGCUACAUUAAAAUUUUUAAUAUCUCACAAUGCAGCUGCUUUUCAAGGUUUUAGAAACAAGCUGGACAAGAGAACAGCUGCCAAGUAUUAUGCUCUAAUUGGUGUUUUGACUGAGUCAACAAAAGAAUGGUAACACCAAUGAAUCAAAG
This 398-nucleotide long non-coding RNA is filed under the name Athene cunicularia (burrowing owl). Its description in RNAcentral is "lncRNA (ENSACUG00000008363.1)". Lineage: Eukaryota; Metazoa; Chordata; Aves; Strigiformes; Strigidae. The record is from RNAcentral.